Molecule: unclassified non-coding RNA, 207 nt
Filed under: plant metagenome
Description: partial contains small subunit ribosomal RNA and internal transcribed spacer 1
Source: RNAcentral
AAGUCGUAACAAGGUCUCUAUAGGUAAACCUGCGGAGGGAUCAUUAUAAAGAACAUCGCCCUCACGGGUGACUCUCUAACCCUAUGUUAUACAACCUUUGUUACUUUGGCAAGCCGCCUCGGCCGCUAGCUUCGGCUAGCGAGUGCUCGCCAGAGGACCCCGAACUCUAAAUAUUAAUGUUGUCUAAGUACUAUAUAAUAGUUAAAA